GGUGGUAGCAGUAGUGGCUUUGUGUUAAUACCUUAGUUACUGGACUGUUCUUAUCUUAACCCGUGGGAGUUAUAUUCUUUCGAUUCUCCUCCCCAUCCCUCUGGGAGUAGGGGGGAAGAAGCAAGGGGGGAGUGAGCAAGGGGCUGCGUGGUUCUGAGUUACUGGCUGGGCUUAAACCAUGACAGUUCUUUGUGGUGCCCGACAUGGGGCAUCAAAGGGUUGAGAUAACAACAGAUCUGACUGGAUUGUGUCUAAUCGUAUUUGUGAUAAGCAUUUAUUGUUUCGGAUUAAUAGUCACUCGUCACAAUGCUGAUUUAUUGGCUCUCAAAGUUGCUGCUCUUGAUUUCAGAGUUUCAGCAUGUUGAACCUUACUUACAGCCAGUAUUUGCUGGUUUAGUGUUUAUCGGCUGGAAGGCUUGGGCUAAGGUUCUUGUUUCACUGUACUUUAUGCUAAUGACUUGUAAUACAAUAGACUCACUGAUCAUAAAACUGCUCUGGUUUGAAUUCCCAGUGUGGUCAUCACCUCUAUACUUUGGGAGAUAUAUAAUGGAAGUGUUUAGCAAUUACACAUCUUUAUUUUCCUCCUUGAAUGGUCAACCUAUGAAGGAGACAUUCCGUUAUGCUCCCAGCUCCCCCACCAGUCUAUUUACAGCAUCAUUUGAGAGUUCUGAAGGUUUUGAAUGGCCUUUGGGUACCCUUAAGACCUGCCUGCUCAUUGUGAUGGGGAUUAGCAUGCUGGUACACGUACAGAGUGUGUUUCACCCAUGACCAUUUCAUCUGAUCUCAAAAGUUAAGCAGAGUCAGGUUUGGGUCUUAUCUAGGGUUAGAUGAUGAUAUAGGAGGACCAAGAGAUUUUCCCCAAGGCUGGACAGUUUUGAGUGGCAGGGUGUGUGGGACAGUAUGGGAAAGUAUCUAGGCCAGUGGGCCCCUCCAGUGCUUUGGAAGCAUCGGAGAUGGAAGGCAACUGUAUGGAGUACCCAACGACAACUGCUAAGAUUGAAGUGGCUCAGACAGACUAAGAUUGGCAACAUAAGGGUGAAUUAUUUUUGGCCUGGUGGGCCCAUAACACCUCAGGCCAUCACGGCAGAGAUGCAACAUACAGAUGGGCUUGUGAUCAAGGGGUGGACUUAACGAUGGACACUAUUGCCCAGGUUAUUCACAAGUGUGAAACAUGUGCUGCAAUUAAGCAAGCCAAGCGGUUAAAGCCUCUUUGGUAUGGA
Long non-coding RNA from Pezoporus occidentalis (night parrot), 1220 nucleotides. RefSeq lists it as uncharacterized. The record is from RefSeq and is a predicted model, not a curated record. The transcript has 2 exons. NCBI's taxonomy places the organism in Eukaryota, Metazoa, Chordata, Aves, Psittaciformes, Psittacidae.